CACAAACACUCCUGUCCUGUAUAGCACAAUAUAUCUUCUCUGGUGAGUGGGACAGUUUUAUAGCUUGCAAAGGAAUAUGACACUGCACUGAACCUGCAAUGGGAACCAAAAAUACACUGCAGACCACUUGAGUUGCUGGAUCUCUGUACUAUGAGUCCUUAAGCACAGGAGAACAGAGGGUCAGAGACUGAAGCUUGCAUAAAUGCACAAAACACGAGCAAGGAAAAAACAAUCUACUCAUGAAUACAGACAAAAAGGCAGAGACAUAUAAGUGUGAGGAAAUGAGCGACAGGUUGGGGGAGAAUCAGCUCAUGAUCUGUACACCGCACCCUGAACCGUGACGAUGCAACAUAAGAUUGCAGUUUUGUGGUGUAGGUUGUGUUUUGUGUGACCUUGAUGAUCCCAUGAUAAAAUUAUUCAGCUUGUGAGAA
Long non-coding RNA from Carassius gibelio (silver crucian carp), 431 nucleotides. RefSeq lists it as uncharacterized. The transcript has 2 exons. Lineage: Eukaryota; Metazoa; Chordata; Actinopteri; Cypriniformes; Cyprinidae. The record is from RefSeq and is a predicted model, not a curated record.